This is a non-coding RNA of Microcebus murinus (gray mouse lemur), 1061 nucleotides long. The record is from RefSeq and is a predicted model, not a curated record. NCBI's taxonomy places the organism in Eukaryota, Metazoa, Chordata, Mammalia, Primates, Cheirogaleidae.
CGCCGCAGCCUGUGGAGCAGGUGUUAGCACACACAGGCCUUGGCGGGCUGUGAAGGCUGGUGACCUCUGAGGCCUAAGGCUGGCGACCCAUCGGCACACUGGAGUCCACAGAAGCCCUGUGCUGCCUCCCCUUCGCCUUGACUCCUCUUUUCUAAGGCCCCCGAGACACUUGCUUAUUAUUUAAGUUUGUGUAUAUGUGUCUCUUGUAAACGACCAAAUGUUUGGGUUGUUACCAAAUUUCGAAAGUCGGUCUUUCAACAGGGACACUCGCAGCCGGGCCGCAUUUAUGCUGCAUUUAAUGAAUGUGUCUAGUAUUUGCCUGCCUUCUCUAGUGUGAGGAACAAUCCCAGGACUUUGCUCAAGGAUUUGUUAAAUGUGGCAGAACUGAGGAUCAGAGAAGUAAUACUUUGUGCAUGGUCACACAGUUAGUUGAGUGGAAAAGCCAGGAUAUGAAGAAAGGACUUUCUGACUCCAAAGCCAAUGUAGUUUCCACUGUUCCAUAGAGUAAAACACUCAUUUUAUCUUCUGCACUUUGGAUAAUAAAGAUGUAGAGUGACCUAGAAUAGCUGAAAUGGGAUGUGAUAACACAGUUUCUCAGGCACACAAAAAAACUAGAUUGGUUAUUGCUUAUGUAGUAGGAAGAAUAACAGCCCCUCAAGUUGUUCACAUCCUAAUCCAAAACACCUGUGAGGAUAUUACCUUGGCAAAAGGAACUUUUCAGAUGUGAUAAUGUUAAGGAUGUUGAGAUGAGGAGGUUAUCCUGUAUUGUUCAGUUGAAAACAAGGGAAUUUACAGAUGUGAUACUUUGCAGUGAUGAUUAUAUUAUAGGCCAACGUGCUCUAACAGAAACAUCUGCAAAGGAAUCCGAUAAAAUUAUGCUCUCAGUUAAUCCCAUCAGGAAGAAUUACUGAUGACAUUAGCUUUGGUCAGUUUGGAGUUUCAGCAUUAUGUUAAAACAAGCUUGCAUUUCUGGGAUACAUUCCAGUGUAUCAAGAGGGAAAAGUGCCGGAACCUACCAGAGAUUCCAUGGGAAGCAGUUGCAGAGCAGAAUAAGAAGGAGC